UAACUAUCUCCGUCUCUUUUGCCUUUUUGUGUUUUCAGCCAUCGGUCUCACGGAUCAUCAUCACCAUCAUCAUCAUCACAUUCACAAGAGACACAGCCAGCCAGCCCCCCUUUACACUUCUCUCUCUCUCUCUCUCCUCUCGGUCUUUGUGGCUUUUUGGGUCUGAAAAAAAGAAGACAAGGCUUUGAUCAAUCAUACGCUUAUUAGUAUUGCAAAAGAAGCAAAUUCAUUCAAAGCAAGACACCCAAAAGGCAGCCACAACUUUCAACUGAAAAAAAGAAAAAGAAAUUCGAAGUACGACCCUCAAAGUGUCUCCCCUUGAAAGGGAAUGAACUGGUUUUGUUGAAGAAGACAAAGGAGUUGCAGAUAAUAUAUCAGGCAAGAUGGGUUCUUUCCCAGGUCAUGCUCUGCCAGGGACGUUGUUUUUUGUAGUUGGGGUAUGGCACGUAUGGAGCUCGUUGGUGAGAUAUGUAUCCAACCCCAAGUCCUUCCGAGUUCGGGUAUGGAGUCCUGUGCCGGGUUUUGAUGGGAGGCUCAAGUAUUUGGAGCUUUAUAUUAUAGCUAUUGGUACUUUCAUUGAUAUGUGUAUCGAGCUUUUGUAUUCGACCCAUCUCAAGUUCUUUGUCAAUGGAGUCUUGAACCCUUCUCACAUGAAUGAUUUUGAGCACUCUGGAAUGCUUCUUAUGUUCUUUAUCUUUGGCGUUGUCAGUCUGCUGUCAGAGAAGACAAGAUUUCUUCCAUUGCCUGAAGGAGCUCUUUGUCUGAUUGCUGCCACAGCAUUCUGUGCAGAGUAUCUUCUGUUCUACUUUCACUCAACAACUCAUAAAGGCCUCGAGGGUUAUUACCACAUCCUCCUUGUCCUUCUAAUUGGGCUCUGCAUAUUAUCGACUGUUGCUGGAGCCCUCUUACCAACCAGCUUUCCAAUUGAUUUAUGUAGCGGUAUUGCCAUGACUCUACAAGGCCUCUGGUUUUAUCAGACUGCAUUCACUCUCUAUGGCCCCAUGAUGCCAGAUGGUUGUCAGCUUAAGGAUGAUAUGAUCUCAUGUCAUUCUGUGGACAAUGAGGUCCGGGGUGAGUUGCUUGCAAACUUCCAGUUCUUUGUCCUGGUUCUUGGUGUACUUAUUGCAGUUGUGGGAGGAUAUGGUUUUGUUGCUUCAAGAUUUGGCCAUUCAGAUCCAAGGAGCUUGCGUGCAGUAUAAGAUGUAUUGGUUGAAGAUCGAAAUAGGGGUACGCUAGCUUAUCCUUGUUGUAUAUAUUUUUGUUGCAAUGUUGGCAGUGGAAUAAGUUGAAAUAACCCAAAAACAAAAAGGGAUGAAAAGCAUUCCUGAGGUUUCUAAUGAAUAUCUGCGGAAAAAAAAGAAAAAAAACUAAUGCUUACGGGAGGGAAAAGCUCAAACAUGGAUUUGGAGUUUGAGGGUCAUCAAAUAUGUGGAUGUAGAGUUUGGCAUUCAUAACAUCAAAGAUACAAAUGGAAAUUUUUGUCAAAUAAUGUAGAGGCCUUUGUUCAAAGUCAUGUUUCUCUUAGUUUGGGCCAAAAUUGACUCGGGCAAAUUCCAUAGCUUCAAAAAGAGAUAAAUUAAAGAUUGGCCACAGAAAAGCAAGGAGGAAGCAAGAGAUACAGUUUCUCUCAAACAGAUUUGAUCAACUUGAUUUCUAGUUUCUCAACAACCUUCUUGCUUUCACUUCUUCAUUUCCAGUCGACAACUUCUAAGAAAUUUUUUGUUCGUUUGCUCUGCUUCUUCUUUGGGUUGGUAUGAUUUCUAGUUGACAUUCAGUUCAAACUAUGAUUAUCUAAAGUUCUAUUGCAUUUUUAGUUUAGGUAAGUCCAAUUCGAGCUUGGCUUAGUCAUUUUGCUUCUCUUUUACUUGUAUUUCAAUCUGAUCGGAUUUGUUUCACUUGUUAUCUUAGUUUGUAACGUCCAUUUGGACCCAAUUUUACUACCAUUAAAAGAA
Molecule: non-coding RNA, 1952 nt
Organism: Prunus mume (Japanese apricot)
Lineage: Eukaryota; Viridiplantae; Streptophyta; Magnoliopsida; Rosales; Rosaceae
Source: RefSeq, a predicted model, not a curated record